RNAcentral lists this ribosomal RNA (301 nucleotides) under uncultured bacterium. Its description in RNAcentral is "partial 16S ribosomal RNA". It matches the Rfam family "Bacterial small subunit ribosomal RNA", at positions 509 to 807 of the family's 1533-position model. The record is from RNAcentral.
CAGCAGCCGCGGUAAUACGUAGGUGGCAAGCGUUGUCUGGAAUUAUUGGGCGUAAAGGGCUCGCAGGCGGUUUCUUAAGUCUGAUGUGAAAGCCCCCGGCUCAACCGGGGAGGGUCAUUGGAAACUGGGAAACUUGAGUGCAGAAGAGGAGAGUGGAAUUCCACGUGUAGCGGUGAAAUGCGUAGAGAUGUGGAGGAACACCAGUGGCGAAGGCGACUCUCUGGUCUGUAACUGACGCUGAGGAGCGAAAGCGUGGGGAGCGAACAGGAUUAGAUACCCCCGUAGUCCCUGUCUCUUAUAC